RNAcentral lists this ribosomal RNA (253 nucleotides) under uncultured bacterium. RNAcentral describes it as "partial 16S ribosomal RNA". It matches the Rfam family "Bacterial small subunit ribosomal RNA", at positions 524 to 776 of the family's 1533-position model. The record is from RNAcentral.
UACGUAGGUGGCGAGCGUUGUCCGGAUUUACUGGGCGUAAAGGGCGUGCAGGCGGUCUGUUAAGUGCAGGGUGAAAGCUCCCGGCUCAACUGGGAGAGGUCCUUGCAUACUGGCGGACUUGAGGGGGGUAGAGGAAAGUGGAAUUCCCGGUGUAGUGGUGAUAUGCGUAGAUAUCGGGAGGAACACCUGUGGCGAAGGCGGCUUUCUGGGCCCUACCUGACGCUGAGACGCGAAAGCGUGGGGAGCGAACCGG